ACUCCUCUUGGAGCCACAGUGGGGAAUCUUCCGCAAUGGACGAAAGUCUGACGGAGCAACGCCGCGUGAGUGAAGAAGGUUUUCGGAUCGUAAAACUCUGUUUUCAGGGACGAAUGUGCGCAGUGUAAAUAAUGCUGUGUAAUGACGGUACCUGAGUAGAAAGCCACGGCUAACUACGUGCCAGCAGCCGCGGUAAUACGUAGGUGGCAAGCGUUGUCCGGAAUUAUUGGGCGUAAAGCGCGCGCAGGUGGGAUAUUAAGUCUGGUGUUAAA
Molecule: ribosomal RNA, 272 nt
Filed under: uncultured bacterium
Lineage: Bacteria
Description: partial 16S ribosomal RNA
Rfam family: Bacterial small subunit ribosomal RNA
Source: RNAcentral